UGGAUCCAGAACUUUGACCCCUGGCUCAGGAAUGAACGCUGGCGGCGUGCCUAAUACAUUGCAAGUCGAACGAAACUUCUUUAUCACCGAGUGCUUGCACUCACCGAUAAAGAGUUGAGUGGCGAACGGGUGAGUAACACGUGGGCAACCUGCCCAAAAGAGGGGGAUAACACUUGGAAACAGGUGCUAAUACCGCAUAACCAUAGUUACCGCAUGGUAACUAUGUAAAAGGUGGCUAUGCUACCGCUUUUGGAUGGGCCCGCGGCGCAUUAGCUAGUUGGUGGGGUAAAGGCUUACCAAGGCAAUGAUGCGUAGCCGAACUGAGAGGUUGAUCGGCCACAUUGGGACUGAGACACGGCCCAAACUCCUACGGGAGGCAGCAGUAGGGAAUCUUCCACAAUGGGCGAAAGCCUGAUGGAGCAACGCCGCGUGGGUGAAGAAGGUCUUCGGAUCGUAAAACCCUGUUGUUAGAGAAGAAAGUGCGUGAGAGUAACUGUUCACGUUUCGACGGUAUCUAACCAGAAAGCCACGGCUAACUACGUGCCAGCAGCCGCGGUAAUACGUAGGUGGCAAGCGUUAUCCGGAUUUAUUGGGCGUAAAGGGAACGCAGGCGGUCUUUUAAGUCUGAUGUGAAAGCCUUCGGCUUAACCGGAGUAGUGCAUUGGAAACUGGGAGACUUGAGUGCAGAAGAGGAGAGUGGAACUCCAUGUGUAGCGGUGAAAUGCGUAGAUAUAUGGAAGAACACCAGUGGCGAAAGCGGCUCUCUGGUCUGUAACUGACGCUGAGGUUCGAAAGCGUGGGUAGCAAACAGGAUUAGAUACCCUGGUAGUCCACGCCGUAAACGAUGAAUGCUAAGUGUUGGAGGGUUUCCGCCCUUCAGUGCUGCAGCUAACGCAAUAAGCAUUCCGCCUGGGGAGUACGACCG
Molecule: ribosomal RNA, 925 nt
Filed under: uncultured Bacillota bacterium
Lineage: Bacteria; Bacillati; Bacillota
Description: bacterial SSU rRNA
Rfam family: Bacterial small subunit ribosomal RNA
Source: RNAcentral